UGUGUUGAUGAAAGAAUCAUCUUAAUUUCCUUAUCACUCCUACGAGACGUGUGCAGAAGGAAGUCCUGCAUUGGGAAACAAAUUCUUUGUCAUCUUGUCUGGACAAACAAACGGAGCUCAUCAGUCCGUUGUUAAACAGCGGAGAGAUUAUGGCCAAACUGAGGUGGACUCAUUUGAAGCAUGUUACUACCUCCUGGUUUUCUGUCCCAUUGCAUCACGUGUUGGAACAGACAUCCAUGAGGCCCUCAGCAAAAUUUCAGGUAUGUGGAUGUCCUCUGCACCAUGUGUUCGGAAUCAACAGCAGCAACAAAGUGAAUCUACUACUCCACAGUCUGAGCUCUGCUCACCACUUGAUGACAGCUCUGCAUGGAGCCCAGGAGGUCUGCUGGAGAGUGAUUAGUGAACACUGG
This is a long non-coding RNA of Girardinichthys multiradiatus, 410 nucleotides long. RefSeq lists it as uncharacterized. The record is from RefSeq and is a predicted model, not a curated record. The transcript is spliced from 4 exons. NCBI's taxonomy places the organism in Eukaryota, Metazoa, Chordata, Actinopteri, Cyprinodontiformes, Goodeidae.